This 72-nucleotide transfer RNA is filed under the name Loxodonta africana (African savanna elephant). It matches the Rfam family "tRNA". Rfam says of the family: Transfer RNA (tRNA) molecules are approximately 80 nucleotides in length. Their secondary structure includes four short double-helical elements and three loops (D, anti-codon, and T loops). The record is from Rfam by way of RNAcentral. Lineage: Eukaryota; Metazoa; Chordata; Mammalia; Proboscidea; Elephantidae.
GCUCUGGUGGCAUAAUGGGUAAGCGUUUGGCUGCUAACCAAAAGAUUAGCAGUUUGAACCUACUCAGCGGCU